CCUGCCUGGUAGCGGGGGAUAACUAUUGGAAACGAUAGCUAAUACCGCAUAACAGUAGAUAUUGCAUGAUAUCUGCUUGAAAGGUGCAAAUGCAUCACUACCAGAUGGACCUGCGUUGUAUUAGCUAGUUGGUGAAGUAACGGCUCACCAAGGCGACGAUACAUAGCCGACCUGAGAGGGUGAUCGGCCACACUGGGACUGAGACACGGCCCAGACUCCUACGGGAGGCAGCAUG
This 235-nucleotide ribosomal RNA is filed under the name uncultured bacterium. Its description in RNAcentral is "partial 16S ribosomal RNA". It matches the Rfam family "Bacterial small subunit ribosomal RNA", at positions 125 to 353 of the family's 1533-position model. The record is from RNAcentral.